GGUCUAAUAAAGAGCUGAAUGGCCAAUAGUGAGGCAGGAGAAAGGAUAGGUGGGGCUGGCAAGCAGAAAGAAAAAAAAUAGAAGGAAGAGGACAUCAGGAGCAAGUUCCCCAGAUAAACAGCAAGCCACAAAAUUCAAGACAUCAAGUCCUUCAUCGAGGUGCUUGGGCCAUCUGGAGUUGAGUUUUAUUCAUGGUGCUUAUGGGACCUGGUUAUGUCCAAUGAGUUGCAAAUACAGA
This is a long non-coding RNA of Peromyscus eremicus (cactus mouse), 238 nucleotides long. RefSeq lists it as uncharacterized. The record is from RefSeq and is a predicted model, not a curated record. The transcript is spliced from 3 exons. NCBI's taxonomy places the organism in Eukaryota, Metazoa, Chordata, Mammalia, Rodentia, Cricetidae.